AUUGAACGCUGGCGGCAGGCCUAACACAUGCAAGUCGAGCGGAUGAAGGGAGCUUGCUCCUGGAUUCAGCGGCGGACGGGUGAGUAAUGCCUAGGAAUCUGCCUGGUAGUGGGGGAUAACGUCCGGAAACGGGCGCUAAUACCGCAUACGUCCUGAGGGAGAGAGUGGGGGAUCUUCGGACCUCACGCUAUCAGAUGAGCCUAGGUCGGAUUAGCUAGUUGGUGGGGUAAAGGCCUACCAAGGCGACGAUCCGUAACUGGUCUGAGAGGAUGAUCAGUCACACUGGAACGGAGACACGGUCCAGACUCCUACGGGAGGCAGCAGUGGGGAAUAUUGGACAAUGGGCGAAAGCCUGAUCCAGCCAUGCCGCGUGUGUGAAGAAGGUCUUCGGAUUGUAAAGCACUUUAAGUUGGGAGGAAGGGCAGUAAGUUAAUACCUUGCUGUUUUGACGUUACCAACAGAAUAAGCACCGGCUAACUUCGUG
Molecule: ribosomal RNA, 484 nt
Filed under: uncultured bacterium
Lineage: Bacteria
Description: partial 16S ribosomal RNA
Rfam family: Bacterial small subunit ribosomal RNA
Source: RNAcentral